CAAUAGCGUAUAUUAAAGUUGUUGCAGUUAAAAAGCUCGUAGUUGGAUUUGUGGCGUACGGUGUGUUCCGGGCACUUGUUGGCUGAGUAACCUGCUGUUGCCAUCCUUGGGUGGAACCUGUGUGGCAUUAGGUUGUCGUGCAGGGGAUGCCCAUCAUUUACUGUGAAAAAAUUAGAGUGUUCAAAGCAGGCUUAUGCCGUUGAAUAUAUUAGCAUGGAAUAAUGAGAUAGGACUUUUUUGCUAUUUUGUUGGUUUGCGCAAAGAGGUAAUGAUUAAUAGGGACAGUUGGGGGUAUUCGUAUUCCAUUGUCAGAGGUGAAAUUCUUGGAUUUUUGGAAGACGAACUACUGCGAAAGCAUUUACCAAGGAUGUUUUCAUUAA
RNAcentral lists this ribosomal RNA (380 nucleotides) under uncultured eukaryote. RNAcentral describes it as "partial 18S ribosomal RNA". It matches the Rfam family "Eukaryotic small subunit ribosomal RNA", at positions 592 to 976 of the family's 1831-position model. The record is from RNAcentral.